This 305-nucleotide ribosomal RNA is filed under the name uncultured bacterium. RNAcentral's name for it is "bacterial SSU rRNA". It matches the Rfam family "Bacterial small subunit ribosomal RNA", at positions 333 to 652 of the family's 1533-position model. The record is from RNAcentral.
AUGAGCCUACGGGGGGCAGCAGUGGGGAAUAUUGGGCAAUGGGCGCAAGCCUGACCCAGCAACGCCGCGUGAAGGAAGAAGGCUUUCGGGUUGUAAACUUCUUUUAUUCGGGACGAAGAAAGUGACGGUACCGAAUGAAUAAGCCACGGCUAACUACGUGCCAGCAGCCGCGGUAAUACAUAGGGAGCAAGCGUUAUCCGGAUUUAUUGGGUGUAAAGGGUGCGUAGACGGGAAAUUAAGUUAGUUGUGAAAUCCCUCGGCUUAACUGAGGAACUGCAACUAAAACUGAUUUUCUUGAGUACUGG